Molecule: ribosomal RNA, 427 nt
Filed under: uncultured bacterium
Lineage: Bacteria
Description: bacterial SSU rRNA
Rfam family: Bacterial small subunit ribosomal RNA
Source: RNAcentral
UCGAGAAUUUUUCACAAUGGGCGCAAGCCUGAUGGAGCGACGCCGCGUGGGGGAUGAAGGGCUUCGGUCCGUAAACCCCUGUCAUUUGCGAACAAUGCUGUUGACCUAAUACGUCAACAGUUGAUAGUAGCGAAAGAGGAAGGGACGGCUAACUCUGUGCCAGCAGCCGCGGUAAUACAGAGGUCCCAAGCGUUGUUCGGAUUUACUGGGCGUAAAGGGUGCGUAGGUGGCGAGAUAAGUCUGAUGUGAAAUCUCCGAGCUUAACUCGGAAAAGGCGUUGGAUACUAUCCCGCUAGAGGGUCGGAGGGGAGACUGGAAUUCUCGGUGUAGCAGUGAAAUGCGUAGAUAUCGAGAGGAACACCAGUGGCGAAGGCGAGUCUCUGGACGACUCCUGACACUGAGGCACGAAAGCUAGGGGAGCAAACAG